AAUCAACGCUGGCGGCGUGCCUCAGACAUGCAAGUCGAACGAUUAAAGCUCUCUUCGGAGAGUGUAUAGAGUGGCGCACGGGUGAGUAACACGUAAGUAAUCUACCUUUGAGUGGGGAAUAACGUCCGGAAACGGACGCUAAUACCGCAUAAUGCAGCGGCAUCGCAAGAUGACAGUUGUUAAAGAUUUAUCGCUUGAAGAGGAGCUUGCGGCAGAUUAGCUAGUUGGUAAGGUAAUGGCUUACCAAGGCUACGAUCUGUAACCGGUCUAAGAGGACGGUCGGUCACACUGACACUGAAUAACGGGUCAGACUCCUACGGGAGGCAGCAGUCGGGAAUUUUGGGCAAUGGGCGAAAGCCUGACCCAGCAACGCCGCGUGAAGGANGAAGUAUUCGGUAUGUAAACUUCGAAAGAAUGGGAAGAAUAAAUGACGGUACCAUUUAUAAGGUCCGGCUAACUACGUGCCAGCCGCCGCCGUAA
This 480-nucleotide ribosomal RNA is filed under the name uncultured bacterium. RNAcentral describes it as "bacterial SSU rRNA". It matches the Rfam family "Bacterial small subunit ribosomal RNA", at positions 32 to 523 of the family's 1533-position model. The record is from RNAcentral.